GUUAGAGGUGUUAGGAGAGUAAGUGCUCUUUGAAGAGCUCUGUCUUCAGGAGUUUAUUAAAGAUAGUGAGAGAUUCUCCUGAUCUGGUAGUAGAAGGUAGUUAGUUAGAGGUGUUAGGAGAGUAAGUGCUCUUUGAAGAGCUCUGUCUUCAGGAGUUUAUUAAAGAUAGUGAGAGAUUCUCCUGAUCUGGUAGUAGAAGGUAGUUAGUUAGAGGUGUUAGGAGAGUAAGUGCUCUUUGAAGAGCUCUGUCUUCAGGAGUUUAUUAAAGAUAGUGAGAGAUUCUCCUGAUCUGGUAGUAGAAGGUAGUUAGUUAGAGGUGUUAGGAGAGUAAGUGCUCUUUGAAGAGCUCUGUCUUCAGGAGUUUAUUAAAGAUAGUGAGAGAUUCUCCUGAUCUGGUAGUAGAAGGUAGUUUGUUAGAGGUGUUAGGAGAGUAAGUGCUCUUUGAAGAGCUCUGUCUUCAGGAGUUUAUUAAAGAUAGUGAGAGAUUCUCCUGAUCUGGUAGUAGAAGGUAGUUUGUUAGAGGUGUUAGGAGAGUAAGUGCUCUAUGAAGAGCUCUGUCUUCAGGAGUUUAUUAAAGAUAGCGAGAGAUUCUCCUGAUCUGGUAGUAGAAGGUAGUUAGUUAGAGGUGUUAGGAGAGUAGGUGCUCUUUGAAGAGCUCUGUCUUCAGGAGUUUAUUAAAGAUAGCGAGAGAUUCUCCUGAUCUGGUAGUAGAAGGUAGUUUGU
Astyanax mexicanus (Mexican tetra) is the source of this 723-nucleotide long non-coding RNA. RefSeq lists it as uncharacterized. NCBI's taxonomy places the organism in Eukaryota, Metazoa, Chordata, Actinopteri, Characiformes, Acestrorhamphidae. The transcript has 3 exons. The record is from RefSeq and is a predicted model, not a curated record.